Molecule: ribosomal RNA, 1530 nt
Filed under: marine sediment metagenome
Description: bacterial LSU rRNA
Rfam family: Bacterial large subunit ribosomal RNA
Source: RNAcentral
UACUCCUGACUGACCGAUAGUGAACCAGUACCGUGAGGGAAAGGCGAAAAGAACCCCUGUGAGGGGAGUGAAAUAGAUCCUGAAACCGUGUACGUACAAGCAGUGGGAGCGGUCCUUGAGACCGUGACUGCGUACCUUUUGUAUAAUGGGUCAGCGACUUAAUUUCAGUAGCAAGCUUAACCGUUUAGGGGAGGCGUAGGGAAACCGAGUCUUAAUAGGGCGUAUAGUUGCUGGGAUUAGACCCGAAACCGAGCGAUCUAUCCAUGGGCAGGUUGAAGGUUGAGUAACAUCAACUGGAGGACCGAACCGACUACCGUUGAAAAGUUAGCGGAUGACCUGUGGAUCGGAGUGAAAGGCUAAUCAAGCUCGGAGAUAGCUGGUUCUCCUCGAAAGCUAUUUAGGUAGCGCCUCGUGUCUCACCAUUGGGGGUAGAGCACUGUUUCGGCUAGGGGGUCAUCCCGACUUACCAACCCGAUGCAAACUCCGAAUACCAAUGAGUGCAAUCACGGGAGACACACGGCGGGUGCUAACGUCCGUCGUGAAAAGGGAAACAACCCAGACCGCCAGCUAAGGUCCCCAAGUUCUAGUUAAGUGGGAAACGAUGUGGGAAGGCUCAGACAGCUAGGAGGUUGGCUUAGAAGCAGCCACCCUUUAAAGAAAGCGUAAUAGCUCACUAGUCGAGUCGGCCUGCGCGGAAGAUAUAACGGGGCUAAAACUAGACACCGAAGCUGCGGAUGCCAUUUAUGGCAUGGUAGAGGAGCGUUCUGUAAGCCGUUGAAGCGGAAGCCGGGAGGCACCGUGGAGGUAUCAGAAGUGCGAAUGCUGACAUGAGUAACGAUAAGGGAGGUGAAAAACCUCCCCGCCGGAAGACCAAGGGUUCCUGUCCAACGCUAUUCGAGGCAGGGUGAGUCGGCCCCUAAGGCGAGGCAGAGAUGCGUAGUCGAUGGGAAACGGGUUAAUAUUCCCGUACUGGUUAUAACUGCGAUGGAGGGACGGAGAAGGCUAGGCAAGCGCGGCGUUGGUUGUCCGCGUUUAAGGUGGUAGGUUGAUGACUUAGGUAAAUCCGGGUUGUCAUAAGACCGAGAACUGAUGACGAGGUCCCUUGAGGACUGAAGUUGUUGAUGCCAUGCUUCCAGGAAAAGCUUCUAAGCUUCAGGUUAUAACGAACCGUACCCCAAACCGACACAGGUGGUCAGGUAGAGAAUACUAAGGCGCAUGAGAGAACUCGGGUGAAGGAACUAGGCAAAAUGGUGCCGUAACUUCGGGAGAAGGCACGCUGCUGGCGGUGACGAGCUUUACGCUCAGAGCUACUGGCAGUCGAAGAUACCAGGUGGCUGCGACUGUUUAUUAAAAACAUAGCACUGUGCAAACACGAAAGUGGACGUAUACGGUGUGACGCCUGCCCGGUGCUGGAAGGUUAAUUGAUGGGGUUAGCGUAAGCGAAGCUCUUGAUCGAAGCCCCAGUAAACGGCGGCCGUAACUAUAACGGUCCUAAGGUAGCGAAAUUCCUUGUCGGGUAAGUUCCGACCU